AUUAAUUUAAUGGCUGCAGUAUUUUAACUGUACAAAGGUAGCAUAAUAAUUAGUUCCUUAAUUAGGGACUGGAAUGAAUGAUUGAACGAGAUAAAAAUUGUCUCUUUCUAAAUUUUAUAAUUUUAUUUUUAAGUUAAAAAGCUUAAAUUAUAUUAAAAGACGAGAAGACCCUAUAGAGUUUUAUAAUUAUAUUAAAAUUAAAUUUUAGAAUUUAAAUAUUAAUUAUAUAUUAAUUAUUUGGUUGGGGUGAUUAGAAAAUUUAAUAAACUUUUUUAUAUUUUACAUAAAUUAAUGAAUAAAUGAUCCAUUUUUUAUGAUUAAAAGAUUAAAUUACCUUAGGGAUAACAGCGUAAUUUUUUUAAAGAGUUCUAAUCGAAAAAAAAGAUUGCGACCUCGAUGUUGGAUUAAAAUAAAUUUUUGGUGUAGAAGCUAAAAUAUUAGGUCUGUUCGACCUUUAAAAUUUUACAUGAUCUGAGUUUAAAUCGGCGUGAGCCAGGUUGGUUUCUAUCUUUAAUAAAAAAAAAUAUUUUAGUACGAAAGGACCAAAUAUUUAUAAUAUUUAUUUGUAAAUGAUUAAUAUUA
This 582-nucleotide ribosomal RNA is filed under the name Ptomaphagus cavernicola. RNAcentral describes it as "partial 16S ribosomal RNA". The stretch from base 341 to 499 matches the Rfam family "Bacterial large subunit ribosomal RNA", at positions 2473 to 2632 of the family's 2925-position model. Lineage: Eukaryota; Metazoa; Arthropoda; Insecta; Coleoptera; Leiodidae. The record is from RNAcentral.